This is a long non-coding RNA of Drosophila willistoni, 510 nucleotides long. RefSeq lists it as uncharacterized. The record is from RefSeq and is a predicted model, not a curated record. Lineage: Eukaryota; Metazoa; Arthropoda; Insecta; Diptera; Drosophilidae. The transcript is spliced from 3 exons.
ACACCUUUUCUUAUCUAUAAGUAUAAUGAUGUGAUUUUGUAUCUCAUAAAAAGCUUCACUUAUGGCUGGUUUUAGUUGUAUUCCGAAGACUGUGCUAAGACAUAUACAUCCAUAAAGUGAUUUACCAUCUAACUUUAAAAAAGAACAUUUGACAAUCUAUUUGUAGGUAUAGAAACCAAAAUGAAGUAACUGAUCCCAUAAAGUACGAUAUAUAAAAUAACAUUAUCUUUAUUUAAUCUGAAAUGUGGGCUUGUUCAAAGGUGACAACAUCAAAAAUGUGCUUACAUCAUCAUUUUGAUGUAUACCUAUGUGAAUGUAAUAUAGCUUUAGAUUGUUAAUACUGAUGUUCAAGUGCCUCCUAAUUUCAAAGAGAAGAUGAAUAAGAGAAAAUGGAAGUUUUGUAAGUCAGUCAACUCAACCAUAAAAUGCAAAUAUGGUGUUAAAGGAUGUCACCGAAAAUGGCGUUUUAUCUCUUUACCUCUGCCUCAUAAUGACAAUUUGAUAAUUUCA